Molecule: RNA transcript, 1232 nt
Organism: Dendrobium catenatum
Lineage: Eukaryota; Viridiplantae; Streptophyta; Magnoliopsida; Asparagales; Orchidaceae
Gene name: lysine-specific demethylase JMJ25-like
Exons: 7
Source: RefSeq, a predicted model, not a curated record
UGUUGGAACUGGGAUUGCAUCAUCUGUAAAGAAUCAGAAGAGGAAAGCUCCCAUAAAUUCUGAUUAUGAGAAGAAUCAGGGUACCAAGACAAAGUUACUGAGUGGUGAAGAUGCGCUAAUGUGCCAUCAAUGCCAAAAGAAUGACAAGGGAGCUGUGGUGCGAUGCAUGGCUUGCCAAAGAAAACGGUAUUGUUAUCCGUGUAUGAAGAGAUGGUAUCCACAGUUAACUCCUGACGUAUUAAAUGCCCAGUUUGCCGGUUCAAUUGCAAUUGCAAAUCAUGCUUACGCAUGAGAGGAAUUUCUGAGAGCCAUUCAAGAGGAGGACAAAAAACAAAAUAUUUAUAUGUAUUACGUCUGUUGCUUCCAUGGUUCAAAGAACUACGCAAAGAACAACAAUUGGAAAAGGAACUUGAGGCUCAGAUAAAAGGCAUUGCAUUGACUGAACUACUGAAGUAAAGUUACAAGAAGCUCCUUGUGCAAAUGAUGAACGAGUAUAUUGCAAUUACUGCAGCUCAUCAAUUGCAGAUUUCCAUAGAAACUGUUCUAGUUGCGCCUAUGACCUAUGUUUGUCUUGCUGUCGAGGGCUUCGUGAAGGCAGUUUGCCUGGGCACAGUAGCCAAUGUGGAGUAAAUACUGAUAUCCCUGAAGAUCUUCUAAAUGCACAUUGCAAUGGAGAGCAACUGCUGAUGGUAGUAUUUCUUGUCCACCUGAAGUAUUGGGUGGUUGUGGUAGUUCUCUUUUGCAGCUCAAGCAUAUUCUUUCAGAAGAUUUUUGAGUUAGAAGAGAAGGCUAAUGGAAUUGUUGGACUCAAAAGCAGUGAACUUACAGAAUCACAUGAAAACUCUGGAGUUUGCCCCUGUUUCUGUGUUUCAGGAAAGAUUGAUUCUCACAGUGGCUCAUUGAGAAAAGCAGCUUCUAGAGAAGGCUGCGAAGAUAACCUUUUAUUCUGUCCAAGUGCUAGAUGUAUUCCAGGGGGAGAACUGGAACAUUUCCAGAAGCAUUGGGCUAAAGGUGAGCCAGUGAUUGUCCGCGAUGUGCUUGAUUUAUCUUCUGGAUUAAGCUGGGAACCAAUGGUCAUGUGGUGUGCAUUGCGAGAGAAGAAAGUGAGAAAGGUUAAACUGAAAAUUUUGAAGUAAAGGCGAUUGACUGUUUGGACUGGUGUGAGUGCACUGAAGAUGAAUAUCAAGGUGAGUUUGCUGCACCAGCAAAGGCGGUGAGUUUUUUAUUUGGUC